This 1171-nucleotide ribosomal RNA is filed under the name Cutibacterium acnes. RNAcentral's name for it is "bacterial SSU rRNA". It matches the Rfam family "Bacterial small subunit ribosomal RNA", at positions 128 to 1311 of the family's 1533-position model. The record is from RNAcentral. Lineage: Bacteria; Bacillati; Actinomycetota; Actinomycetes; Propionibacteriales; Propionibacteriaceae.
GCCCUUGACUUUGGGAUAACUUCAGGAAACUGGGGCUAAUACCGGAUAGGAGCUCUGCUGCAUGGUGGGGGUUGGAAAGUUUCGGCGGUUGGGGAUGGACUCGCGGCUUAUCAGCUUGUUGGUGGGGUAGUGGCUUACCAAGGCUUUGACGGGUAGCCGGCCUGAGAGGGUGACCGGCCACAUUGGGACUGAGAUACGGCCCAGACUCCUACGGGAGGCAGCAGUGGGGAAUAUUGCACAAUGGGCGGAAGCCUGAUGCAGCAACGCCGCGUGCGGGAUGACGGCCUUCGGGUUGUAAACCGCUUUCGCCUGUGACGAAGCGUGAGUGACGGUAAUGGGUAAAGAAGCACCGGCUAACUACGUGCCAGCAGCCGCGGUGAUACGUAGGGUGCGAGCGUUGUCCGGAUUUAUUGGGCGUAAAGGGCUCGUAGGUGGUUGAUCGCGUCGGAAGUGUAAUCUUGGGGCUUAACCCUGAGCGUGCUUUCGAUACGGGUUGACUUGAGGAAGGUAGGGGAGAAUGGAAUUCCUGGUGGAGCGGUGGAAUGCGCAGAUAUCAGGAGGAACACCAGUGGCGAAGGCGGUUCUCUGGGCCUUUCCUGACGCUGAGGAGCGAAAGCGUGGGGAGCGAACAGGCUUAGAUACCCUGGUAGUCCACGCUGUAAACGGUGGGUACUAGGUGUGGGGUCCAUUCCACGGGUUCCGCGCCGUAGCUAACGCUUUAAGUACCCCGCCUGGGGAGUACGGCCGCAAGGCUAAAACUCAAAGGAAUUGACGGGGCCCCGCACAAGCGGCGGAGCAUGCGGAUUAAUUCGAUGCAACGCGUAGAACCUUACCUGGGUUUGACAUGGAUCGGGAGUGCUCAGAGAUGGGUGUGCCUCUUUUGGGGUCGGUUCACAGGUGGUGCAUGGCUGUCGUCAGCUCGUGUCGUGAGAUGUUGGGUUAAGUCCCGCAACGAGCGCAACCCUUGUUCACUGUUGCCAGCACGUUAUGGUGGGGACUCAGUGGAGACCGCCGGGGUCAACUCGGAGGAAGGUGGGGAUGACGUCAAGUCAUCAUGCCCCUUAUGUCCAGGGCUUCACGCAUGCUACAAUGGCUGGUACAGAGAGUGGCGAGCCUGUGAGGGUGAGCGAAUCUCGGAAAGCCGGUCUCAGUUCGGAUUGGGGUCUGCAAC